This is a long non-coding RNA of Suricata suricatta (meerkat), 584 nucleotides long. RefSeq lists it as uncharacterized. The record is from RefSeq and is a predicted model, not a curated record. Lineage: Eukaryota; Metazoa; Chordata; Mammalia; Carnivora; Herpestidae. The transcript has 3 exons.
CCCCGGCGUCAGCACGGUUUCCGAGGCCGCGGCCUCCUGUGGGGCGAGUUAGGGGCUGAGAGGCCUAGAAGACCUGCCACCAGGACGGAAGCGGCAGACGGUGGGCAGGAGGGAAGGUCAUUCCAGCCUCCAGAAACCUUCGUCAAAGUCUGUCUUGUGAAGGACACAAAUACCAGAAGUCUGAGUGCUGCUCUCCUAUAUGAACAAGAAUCCGGAAGAAAGGAAAACAAUCAUAGAAGCAGAACAAAAGUACAAGAUCAUUCACAGAUGGCGCUACCAUAUCAUGUGGACAGAUCACAUCCUGGAUGUUCCAACUAUUCAAAUGCUGUCUUAUUGUUUCGUCCAAUGUUUUCCUCCUCUGAAUGGAGGCAAUGGACACUAGUGAAAUACACUGCCAUGUUGGAAAAACUUGCAUGACAGGGAACCAGCAAACUGCCCCCAAGGCCAACAAGGAAUUGAGGAUGUCAGUCAAACAAGAAUUGAGGGACUGGAUCCUGCCAACAACCAUGUAAGUGAGUACACAAGUGGCUCUUUCCCCAGUCACACCUGCAGAUAAGAACCUAGCCUCCGCUAAUAUCUUAAUU